AGACGUCUACAUUAGAUACCCGCGUAGUCCCAGCCGUAAACUAUGCGCGUUAGGUGUAUCGGUGACCACGAGUUACCGAGGUGCCGAAGGGAAACCGUGAAACGUGCCGCCUGGGAAGUACGGUCGCAAGGCUGAAACUUAAAGGAAUUGGCGGGGAGCACCACAACGGGUGGAGCCUGCGGUUUAAUUGGACUCAACGCCGGGAAGCUCACCGGAUAAGACAGCAGAAUGAUUGCCGGGCUGAAGACUCUGCAUGACUAGCUG
RNAcentral lists this ribosomal RNA (264 nucleotides) under uncultured archaeon. RNAcentral's name for it is "partial 16S ribosomal RNA". It matches the Rfam family "Archaeal small subunit ribosomal RNA", at positions 717 to 982 of the family's 1478-position model. The record is from RNAcentral.